GUCUACAGCCAUCACACCCCCAGCACACCUGAUCAUGUCUGAUCUCUGAAGCUAAGUACAUCAGGCCCGGUAGGAACUUGGCUGGGAGGCUCUGUUUAACUGUGCUGCAGCCU
RNAcentral lists this ribosomal RNA (113 nucleotides) under Echinops telfairi (small Madagascar hedgehog). The record is from RNAcentral. Lineage: Eukaryota; Metazoa; Chordata; Mammalia; Afrosoricida; Tenrecidae.